GGAAGUUCAUUUCCGAAACAAUUAUUUCGGAAGUUCACUUCCGAAAUACUACGAUUUCUGCAGAUUUAUCAAAACACUCCCCCUCCCCCAAUCAUUUACCCUAAAUCAAAACAAAAAGUGGCAGAGGCGAAAAUUUGUGCAAACGGAAUUCCAAAGCUGCAUCAAGGCUCCAAUCACACUGCUAAACAACAUUCAAAAGCCCUCAAUCCUAACACUUUGAACAUGUCAGACAACCAACAAGCACGCAGGACUGCGUCUUCUAAAGAGGGCGCUAAGGGAAGAAAGAGUUCUUCAAAGAAGGAGGUGAAAGAGGUGAAGGAGGUGAAGGAGGUGAAGGAGAAGAAGAAGCUUUUGACUGGUUCUGCUUCUCGUCCCCUGGGAGUCCAUGGCUCGGACGCGCAGGCUCAGCCUUCAGGCGUGAUCAACGCUGAUGGUUCUGAUAAUGAGUGGGAUGAAGAUUGGUAUAAUUAUCUUCAUUCGGAGGAGUUCGCUCGUCGAGAAGAAUAACGUGUUUUUAUUUUGUUUGAUGUGUAUUUUGUAACGCUCGUCGGGCAGAAUAACAUGUUUUUGUUUUGUUUGACGUGUCUUGUUUUGUUCUGAUUUCGGAUUGUAUCGAAUAAUGUUUUUGUAUUGGA
Long non-coding RNA from Vicia villosa (hairy vetch), 635 nucleotides. RefSeq lists it as uncharacterized. The transcript has 2 exons. The record is from RefSeq and is a predicted model, not a curated record. Lineage: Eukaryota; Viridiplantae; Streptophyta; Magnoliopsida; Fabales; Fabaceae.